Long non-coding RNA from Lolium perenne, 1161 nucleotides. RefSeq lists it as uncharacterized. NCBI's taxonomy places the organism in Eukaryota, Viridiplantae, Streptophyta, Magnoliopsida, Poales, Poaceae. The record is from RefSeq and is a predicted model, not a curated record.
UCUCGACCCCCUUUCUGGUUUCGCUCUGCUCCACGAAGGGAACGCCGCCGCCGCCGGCCACCCGCUUCCCGCCGCCGUGAUUUCGGCCAGCUCCGGCCUCCUCCCACGCUGGUACUCUCCGGUGUAGCACCGUGUAGGUAUCCGCCGCAGAUUCCCCCGCCUCCACGGCAUCGUCAUCUAACCCUAGCCGCUUCGCCCCCCGUCUUGAAACCCUAGCGCAGCCGCGGUUCGUCUUCCUCGGCGCCGGUGACCAGGAACCGGUGGGCGCCGUCCAUUUCCUCUGCCACAACUCCUCCCACCCGCGACCUCCCUCCGCGCCUCCGGCCAACGGCCUCCCACCACAUCUCGGCGAACGAGGACGAGCCGAUCUCUCUCCGACGAACUACGACGAUGAACAUCGGAUCCGUACUCCUCCAACCCGUGACUCGGUGCCACUCUGAGACGUGACAUAACCUACUCCUCGAUCCCGUGACGGACCCUCUGGAUCCGAGAAGCUUGUUGAUCUGGACAAGGCUUCGUCCGAAGCGUCGAGCGGCGCCGCUGGUUUGAGAUUGGAGUUGUUUGGGUGUGACCUGGAGAAGCAGGGCGAGUCAGGCAUCCUGGCGGCUGGAGUUGGUUGAGAGGUGGUAUCCUGCACCUUCGCAUAGUCAGUGGUGUCGACGACAACAGCGGUGGGACGGCACUACCGCAACCCCAGCGUAUCAAGUGGCCGCUGCCAUGUGUCGGUGGUGGGCUCGCCACAACCACGGCGGCUCUUGUUCGUCUACAAGCAACCCUACUCCUUUGGAGAAACCGGAGGGGCCAAGUUUGUUAUGUCAGCAGGUCCUGUUCAGAAUCAAAUCAUAACGUGCUAUAGUUGAUUGUAAUCUCACGUGGCCAUGUCAUUUUUCUUGUCCUGCCUGCUGUUCUAUGCAGCUGAGAGCUCCAAGUUCCCAAACGCCAAAAAAUUCAAACACUGAAAUUGGAAAUAGGAUCAAGAUACACAUGUUACUGUGAACUUCCUGAUGGUGCUUCCUGAUGGUGCUGUAAUCAACUGACAAUUCCUGUGAACUCCUUGAUGUUGCUGUGUACUUAUAUGAACAUCUUAUUUGAAUUGCUAUGAAUUUCUUGAUGGUGAUGUAAUCAACUGACAAUUGCUAUGAACUUAUUGAUGGUGCUGAA